AAUCAACGCUGGCGGCGUGCCUCAGACAUGCAAGUCGAACGAUUAAAGCUCUCUUCGGAGAGUGUAUAGAGUGGCGCACGGGUGAGUAACACGUAAGUAAUCUACCUUUGAGUGGGGAAUAACGUCCGGAAACGGACGCUAAUACCGCAUAAUGCAGCGGCAUCGCAAGAUGACAGUUGUUAAAGAUUUAUCGCUUGAAGAGGAGCUUGCGGCAGAUUAGCUAGUUGGUAAGGUAAUGGCUUACCAAGGCUACGAUCUGUAACCGGUCUAAGAGGACGGUCGGUCACACUGACACUGAAUAACGGGUCAGACUCCUACGGGAGGCAGCAGUCGGGAAUUUGGGCAAUGGGCGAAAGCCUGACCCAGCAACGCCGCGUGAAGGAUGAAGUAUUU
This 393-nucleotide ribosomal RNA is filed under the name uncultured bacterium. Its description in RNAcentral is "bacterial SSU rRNA". It matches the Rfam family "Bacterial small subunit ribosomal RNA", at positions 32 to 418 of the family's 1533-position model. The record is from RNAcentral.